Molecule: non-coding RNA, 30 nt
Filed under: Mus musculus (house mouse)
Lineage: Eukaryota; Metazoa; Chordata; Mammalia; Rodentia; Muridae
Source: RNAcentral
UGGCUCUCAAAUGCCAGGACACCUUUCCCC